AGAGUUUGAUUAUGGCUCAGGAUGAACGCUAGCGAUAGGCCUAACACAUGCAAGUCGAGGGGCAGCACAUGAAGUAGCAAUACGGAUGGUGGCGACCGGCGCACGGGUGAGUAACGCGUAUGCAACCUGCCUACAACAGGGGAAUAACCCGUUGAAAGACGGACUAAUACCCCAUAACACAGGGAUCCCGCAUGGGAAUAUUUGUUAAAGAUUUAUCGGUUGUAGAUGGGCAUGCGUUCCAUUAGCUUGUUGGUGAGGUAACGGCUCACCAAGGCAACGAUGGAUAGGGGAACUGAGAGGUUUAUCCCCCACACUGGUACUGAGACACGGACCAGACUCCUACGGGAGGCAGCAGUGAGGAAUAUUGGUCAAUGGACGCAAGUCUGAACCAGCCACGUCGCGUGAAGGAAGACGGCCCUACGGGUUGUAAACUUCUUUUGUAAGGGAAUAAAGUGUAGUACGUGUACUAUUUUGCAUGUACCUUACGAAUAAGGAUCGGCUAACUCCGUGCCAGCAGCCGCGGUAAUACGGAGGAUCCGAGCGUUAUCCGGAUUUAUUGGGUUUAAAGGGUGCGCAGGCGGGAGAUUAAGUCGGCGGUGAAAUUUUGCAGCUCAACUGUAAAAGUGCCUUCGAAACUGGUUUCCUUGAAUGUGGAUGAAGUAGGCGGAAUUUGUGGUGUAGCGGUGAAAUGCAUAGAUAUCACGAGGAACUCCGAUUGCGCAGGCAGCUUACUAAACCAUAACUGACGCUCAGGCACGAAGGCGUGGGGAUCAAACAGGAUUAGAUACCCUGGUAGUC
Molecule: ribosomal RNA, 798 nt
Filed under: uncultured Porphyromonadaceae bacterium
Lineage: Bacteria; Pseudomonadati; Bacteroidota; Bacteroidia; Bacteroidales; Porphyromonadaceae
Description: bacterial SSU rRNA
Rfam family: Bacterial small subunit ribosomal RNA
Source: RNAcentral